Molecule: non-coding RNA, 88 nt
Filed under: bovine gut metagenome
Source: RNAcentral
CUCCGGGGUGCUGAUGCCACGCUGGCAAAGGCUGAGAUUAUACCCAUAGAACCUGAUGCGGGUAAUGCCGUCGUAGGAAAUAGAAGUA